RNAcentral lists this ribosomal RNA (253 nucleotides) under uncultured bacterium. Its description in RNAcentral is "partial 16S ribosomal RNA". It matches the Rfam family "Bacterial small subunit ribosomal RNA", at positions 524 to 776 of the family's 1533-position model. The record is from RNAcentral.
GACAGAGGGGGCGAGCGUUGUUCGGAAUUACUGGGCGUAAAGGGCGCGUAGGCGGCCCGCUAAGUCGAACGUGAAAUCCCUCGGCUUAACCGGGGAACUGCAUCUGAUACUGGAUGGCUUGAGAUUGGGAGAGGGAUGCGGAAUUCCAGGUGUAGCGGUGAAAUGCGUAGAUAUCUGGAGGAACACCGGUGGCGAAGGCGGCAUCCUGGACCAACACUGACGCUGAGGAGCGAAAGCCAGGGGAGCAAACGGG